RNAcentral lists this ribosomal RNA (468 nucleotides) under uncultured bacterium. RNAcentral describes it as "partial 16S ribosomal RNA". It matches the Rfam family "Bacterial small subunit ribosomal RNA", at positions 28 to 507 of the family's 1533-position model. The record is from RNAcentral.
GACGAACGCUGGCGGCGUGCUUAACACAUGCGAGUCGAACGGAAAGGCCCUGCUUUUGUGGGGUGCUCGAGUGGCGAACGGGUGAGUAACACGUGAGUAACCUGCCCUUGACUUUGGGAUAACUUCAGGAAACUGGGGCUAAUACCGGAUAGGAGCUCCUGCUGCAUGGUGGGGGUUGGAAAGUUUCGGCGGUUGGGGAUGGACUCGCGGCUUAUCAGCUUGUUGGUGGGGUAGUGGCUUACCAAGGCUUUGACGGGUAGCCGGCCUGAGAGGGUGACCGGCCACAUUGGGACUGAGAUACGGCCCAGACUCCUACGGGAGGCAGCAGUGGGGAAUAUUGCACAAUGGGCGGAAGCCUGAUGCAGCAACGCCGCGUGCGGGAUGACGGCCUUCGGGUUGUAAACCGCUUUCGCCUGUGACGAAGCAUGAGUGACGGUAAUGGGUAAAGAAGCACCGGCUAACUACGUG